AGGUUAAGCAGGAAAGAGCACAGGGCGGAUGCCUUGGCACUGGGAGCCGACGAAAGACGUGAUAAGCUGCGAAAAGCCGUGGGGAGGAGCAAAUAUCCGGUGAUCCACGGAUGUCUGAAUGGGGGAACCCACAUGGAAAGACUCCAUGUAUCCAUGCCUGAAUCCAUAGGGCAUGGAAGGGAACCCGGCGAACUGAAACAUCUAAGUAGCCGGAGGAAGAGAAAGAAACAUCGAUUCCGGGAGUAGCGGCGAGCGGAACCGGAAGAGCCCAAACCGCAGUGCGUGCACUGCGGGGUUCGGACUGCACAAGUGACUGGAAGGGACAGGGGAACGGACCUGGAAAGACCGGCCGGAGAGGGUGAAAGCCCCGUAGCCGAAGUCCCGGAAAGCGCGGCAGGAUCCAGAGUACCACGGGACACGGGAAACCCUGUGGGAAUGAGCGGGGACCACCCCGUAAGGCUAAAUACUCCUCAGUGACCGAUAGAGCAGAGUACUGUGAAGGAAAGGUGAAAAGGACCCCGGGAGGGGAGUGAAAGAGAACCUGAAACCCUGUGUUUACAAACUGUGGAACACUUACAAAGGUGGACCGCGUACUUUUUGUAGAACGGUCCGGCGAGUUGCGGGUGCUGGCAAGGUUAAAUGCUUCAGGCAUGGAGCCGGAGGGAAACCAAGUCUUAAUAGGGCGUAAAGUCAGCAGCUGCAGACCCGAAACCGGGUGACCUACCCAUGUCCAGGAUGAAGCUGCCGUAAGAGGCAGUGGAGGUCCGGACCCACAUCCGUUGAAAAGGGUGGGGAUGAGGUGUGGGUAGGGGAGAAAUUCCAAUCGAACCCGGAGAUAGCUGGUUCUCCUCGAAAUAGCUUUAGGGCUAGCCUCAUGGUGAGCCGGAUGGAGGUAGAGCACUGAAUACCCUAGGGGGCGUCAAAGCCUACCGAAGGUUAUCAAACUCCGAAUGCCAUCCCGGUAUACAUGGGAGUCAGACUGCACGAGAUAAGUUGGGCAGUCAAAAGGGAAAGAGCCCAGACCCGCGGCUAAGGUCCCAGAGUGCGUGUUAAGUGGAAAAGGAUGUGGGAUUUCGAAGACAGCUAGGAUGUUGGCUCAGAAGCAGCCACACAUUCAAAGAGUGCGUAAUAGCUCACUAGUCGAGAGGUCCUGCGCCGAAAAUGUCCGGGGCUGAAACACGGCACCGAAGCCCGGGGAUGCAUGCAGAGGCAUGGAUCGGUAGAGGAGCAUUGUUAACUUAAAGAAGCCGUACCGGAAGGGGCGGUGGAAGGUUAAGAAGAGAGAAUGCCGGAAUGAGUAGCGAGAGCAAGGUGGGAAUCCUUGCGGCCGGAUAUCCGAGGUUUCCAGGGUAAAGCUGAUCUGCCCUGGGUAAGUCGGGGCCUAAGGCGAGGCAUAAGUGCGUAGCCGAUGGACAGCAGGUGGAGAUUCCUGCACUGG
Molecule: ribosomal RNA, 1438 nt
Filed under: bacterium 1xD42-87
Lineage: Bacteria
Description: bacterial LSU rRNA
Rfam family: Bacterial large subunit ribosomal RNA
Source: RNAcentral